CGGACGGGUGAGUAAUGCAUAGGAAUCUGCCCGGUAGUGGGGGAUAACCUGGGGAAACCCAGGCUAAUACCGCAUACGUCCUACGGGAGAAAGCAGGGGAUCUUCGGACCUUGCGCUAUCGGAUGAGCCUAUGUCGGAUUAGCUUGUUGGUGAGGUAAUGGCUCACCAAGGCGACGAUCCGUAGCUGGUCUGAGAGGAUGAUCAGCCACAUCGGGACUGAGACACGGCCCGAACUCCUACGGGAGGCAGCAGUGGGGAAUAUUGGACAAUGGGCGAAAGCCUGAUCCAGCCAUGCCGCGUGUGUGAAGAAGGCUUUCGGGUUGUAAAGCACUUUCAGUGAGGAAGAAGGCCUUGGGGCUAAUACCCCCGAGGAAGGACAUCACUCACAGAAGAAGCACCGGCUAACUCCGUGCCAGCAGCCGCGGUAAUACGGAGGGUGCGAGCGUUAAUCGGAAUUACUGGGCGUAAAGCGCGCGUAGGCGGCGUGAUAAGCCGGUUGUGAAAGCCCCGGGCUCAACCUGGGAACGGCAUCCGGAACUGUCAGGCUAGAGUGCAGGAGAGGAAGGUAGAAUUCCCGGUGUAGCGGUGAAAUGCGUAGAGAUCGGGAGGAAUACCAGUGGCGAAGGCGGCCUUCUGGACUGACACUGACGCUGAGGUGCGAAAGCGUGGGUAGCAAACAGGAUUAGAUACCCUGGUAGUCCACGCCGUAAACGAUGUCGACUAGCCGUUGGGGUCCUUGAGACCUUUGUGGCGCAGUUAACGCGAUAAGUCGACCGCCUGGGGAGUACGGCCGCAAGGUUAAAACUCAAAUGAAUUGACGGGGGCCCGCACAAGCGGUGGAGCAUGUGGUUUAAUUCGAUGCAACGCGAAGAACCUUACCUACCCUUGACAUCGUGCGAACUUGGUAGAGAUACCUUGGUGCCUUCGGGAACGCACAGACAGGUGCUGCAUGGCUGUCGUCAGCUCGUGUUGUGAAAUGUUGGGUUAAGUCCCGUAACGAGCGCAACCCUUGUCCCUAUUUGCCAGCGAUUCGGUCGGGAACUCUAGGGAGACUGCCGGUGACAAACCGGAGGAAGGUGGGGACGACGUCAAGUCAUCAUGGCCCUUACGGGUAGGGCUACACACGUGCUACAAUGGCCGGUACAAAGGGUUGCGAAGCCGCGAGGUGGAGCUAAUCCCGGAAAGCCGGUCUCAGUCCGGAUCGGAGUCUGCAACUCGACUCCGUGAAGUCGGAAUCGCUAGUAAUCGUGAAUCAGAAUGUCACGGUGAAUACGUUCCCGGGCCUUGUACACACCGCCCGUCACACCAUGGGAGUGGACUGCACCAGAAGUGGUUA
RNAcentral lists this ribosomal RNA (1336 nucleotides) under Halomonas sp. T70PU. RNAcentral describes it as "bacterial SSU rRNA". It matches the Rfam family "Bacterial small subunit ribosomal RNA", at positions 99 to 1432 of the family's 1533-position model. Lineage: Bacteria; Pseudomonadati; Pseudomonadota; Gammaproteobacteria; Oceanospirillales; Halomonadaceae. The record is from RNAcentral.